RNAcentral lists this ribosomal RNA (253 nucleotides) under uncultured bacterium. Its description in RNAcentral is "partial 16S ribosomal RNA". It matches the Rfam family "Bacterial small subunit ribosomal RNA", at positions 524 to 776 of the family's 1533-position model. The record is from RNAcentral.
UACGUAGGGUGCAAGCGUUGUCCGGAAUCAUUGGGCGUAAAGAGCGUGUAGGCGGUUCGGUAAGUCGGCUGUGAAAGUCCAGGGCUCAACCCUGGGAUGCCGGUCGAUACUGGUGGACUAGAGUCCGGAAGAGGCGAGUGGAAUUCCCGGUGUAGCGGUGAAAUGCGCAGAUAUCGGGAGGAACACCAAUGGCGAAGGCAGCUCGCUGGGACGGUACUGACGCUGAGACGCGAAAGCGUGGGGAGCAAACAGG